This 76-nucleotide transfer RNA is filed under the name Gammaproteobacteria bacterium. Its description in RNAcentral is "tRNA-Arg". It matches the Rfam family "tRNA". From Rfam's summary of the family: Transfer RNA (tRNA) molecules are approximately 80 nucleotides in length. Their secondary structure includes four short double-helical elements and three loops (D, anti-codon, and T loops). Further hydrogen bonds mediate the characteristic L-shaped molecular structure. tRNAs have two regions of fundamental functional importance: the anti-codon, which is responsible for specific mRNA codon recognition, and the 3' end, to which the tRNAs corresponding amino acid is attached (by aminoacyl-tRNA synthetases). tRNAs cope with the degeneracy of the genetic code in two manners: having more than one tRNA (with a specific anti-codon) for a particular amino acid; and 'wobble' base-pairing, i.e. permitting non-standard base-pairing at the 3rd anti-codon position. Lineage: Bacteria; Pseudomonadati; Pseudomonadota; Gammaproteobacteria. RNAcentral also lists the same sequence under 2 other names. The record is from RNAcentral.
GCGCCCGUAGCUCAAUGGAUAGAGCAACCGGUUUCUACCCGGUUGGUUAGGGGUUCGAGUCCUCUCGGGCGCGCAA